Molecule: long non-coding RNA, 481 nt
Organism: Gallus gallus (chicken)
Lineage: Eukaryota; Metazoa; Chordata; Aves; Galliformes; Phasianidae
Exons: 3
Source: RefSeq, a predicted model, not a curated record
GUUGUUUCACACCUAUGAAGCAGCAAAGCACUUGGUCCUCCACUUCAUGCCCCACUGAACUGGUUGUGGUGUUCAAAUCACAUUUCAGGGGAGAUGGAGUGUCCACCACUACCACCAGCAGCUUGGUGAGGACAGAUCUUCUCAGUGUGAUUCAUGGAGUUACUCAGCUUUAAGGACACAGAGCAGAAUCUCAGUAGGCAGCUGCCUGCUGGCUCCAUCCCUUGGCAAGAAGCCUGAGCAGGACAAUGGGGGAAGAGCAGCAGUGAGGUUUUGCUGUCAGGCAGUACCUGGGGCUCUGUAUGGUCCAGAGCAGAAGAAAGCCAGGCUCAACCCCCAGAGAGCACAGGACUGACUUACCUCUGGUCCGAUCUCCAUUCUAUGUUAGAAGAGCUGCUGGUAAGAAAAUUUCCUCGUGGACCUGAAUGCUAUCGCCCCAGGACAGAGACAUCUGUUCCUACAAGCAGAACUGGAGUGACUACAG